This is an RNA transcript of Chelonia mydas (Green sea turtle), 2792 nucleotides long. It is a transcript of the gene named MAGI family member, X-linked, with no coding region annotated. NCBI's taxonomy places the organism in Eukaryota, Metazoa, Chordata, Testudines, Cheloniidae. The record is from RefSeq and is a predicted model, not a curated record. The transcript has 8 exons.
CUGGGCCGGGAGCCGGGGAGCCCCGAUCCCUCCCCGUGGCCCUAGGGGGGGGGCGCUGGGCCGGGAGCCGGGGAGCCCCGACCCCCCCCCCCGUGGCCCUAGGGGGGGUCGCUGGGUCGGGAGCCGGGGAGCCCCGACCCCCCCCGUGGCCCUAGAGGGGGGGCGCUGGGCCGGGAGCCGGGGAGCCCCAAUCCCCCCUCGUGGCCCUAGGGGGGGGCGCUGGGCCGGGAGCCGGGGAGCCCCAAUCCCCCCCCGUGGCCCUAGGGGAGGGGGCGCUGGGCCGGGAGCCGGGGAGCCCUGAUCCCCCCCCCGUGGCCCUAGGGGAGGGGCCCUGGGCCGGGAGCCCCAAUGCCCCCCCCAUCUCCUAUAGGCCUCAGGGCACCAUGCCCCAGACAGCAGCUGCCCUUUCCCUGCUGUGUACCCACAUAAAUCCCUUAACCCCUGUUCCAGCCACUUAACCCGCCAGCCCACACUCCCCUCCCGGAACCGGGGAGAGAACCCAGGAGUCCUGAGUCCCAGACCCCCCCUGCUCUAACCACUAGACCCCAUCCCCUCCCAGAGACAGGGAGAGAACCCAGGAGUCCUGGGUCCCAGACCCCCCCUGCUCUAACCACUAGACCCCAUCCCCUCCCAGAGACAGGGAGAGAACCCAGGAGUCCUGGGUCCCAGACCCCCCGCCCCAAUUGCCCCUGUACCGUGUGUGGCCGGGAUAAGACCUCUUUAGGGGCUGGGGCUGUUGAAUGAACGCCCCCCCCCCUUCACAGACUGCACCCUCCUUAACGAAGGCUUUAUCAUGAAAUGACUGAUGAUUAAUUACUCGCCCUUUUGGGGCUGGAUUGGAGCCAGCGCCCCCUAGAGGGGAAAGGCCCCGUGUCCCAUAUCCUGGGGCGGGGGGGGGGGGGAAUUAGCCGCUCUGGUCUCCGAUUGGCCGGCCCGUCUGUCCGUCCCCCCCCCCCCCCCGCUCCCAUCCUAGCGACGGAGGAGGAGGUGGAAGGUUACCGGGACAGCAAACCCCGUUGCCUUGGCGACCCCCCGUUGCUAACCCCGGCAGCAUCGGGUACCAUUGGGGGGGGGCGGUCGGAGCAGCGCCGGAGGCCGGGACACCGCAGGGUGGCGAGAUGACACCCCUACCUCAUACCUCCCACCGUGGCCAAGGAGCGGAUGGAAACCUCCUCCCCAUGCAAAGGCCGGAGGGAAACUGAGGCACGCAGCGGCAAAAGACGACGGCAGCUUCCCCCUUCAUCCCAGCCCCUUUCACCGGGGUGGGGCUGUGGGGCGGAAACGCCCGUUUCCCGAUCCUUGUGUCCCGCGUAAUCCAUUGCGAUGCCUGUGGGCUAGCAACAGACAGCUGCACCCGUGCCAGCCCGGGUCGAGCCUGAGCCACAUCGGCCUCAAAGGAGAGCAGGGUCUUCCGGCAGGACCCUGUUCUGGGCAAACGCCCUCUCUCUGCACCAGCCAGCCUGCCCCACCUUCCCCCCAGCUGCAGCCAGGGCUGAGGCAGCCGGUGCUGGGGGUCGCGGGAUUCUUCCCCCCGGCAGACAGAGACCCCGGUUUGGGCCCUGAGAGCGAGGCCGCCGUCUGCGCCAUGGGCGGGGCGGGGCCCCAUCUCCAGCACUGGGGGGCAGAGCAAAGUGAAGCCUGCGGAAUCAGCUGCAGCGCCCACCAGAGCCCCCACAGGGCCCCUGAACCCCCAAUCCCAGCAGCAGAGACAGCACCAGCGGCUAGAGUGAACGUGGUGGUGGUGGUGGACGGGAGCUGUAUCCUCCAAUACACCCAUCGCGACUCCCCCUGCCUUUGCCUGCACCGUGGGGACGCCCUGCCGGCCCAUCGGCCUCCCCCCUGCUAUGGGGCCGCUGCCCCCUGCAGCCCCCCCGCCGCCGGGCCCCCCCUCUCCCGCCGGGCCCGGGGCCUGGGGGUCCGGUGCUGCACUGAGUUUUGCCUGGGGGAGGAAGAGGAGCGGGCGGAGUGGAGACCCCGCCACCAGGGGGCGCCCCCCCGCCGCGCCCCGCCGCCCGGCCGGCUGACGCCGGUGCCCCUGCCCCGCAGCGCCACGGGGCCCUGGUUUACAGUGGAGGCGCCAGAGGACGGUGGACCCGGGGCCCAGGUGGCCAGGAUCUGGGACCGGGGGCGCUGCCCCCUGCUGGAGGAGGGCGACCUCGUGGCCAAAGUGAACGGGGCCGACGUGAGGGGCCUCAGGCCCCGGGAGGUGGAGAACGUCCUGCAGCAGCACACGCGGGCCGGGGACGUCAUCCUGCUGGUGGAGCGGAGAGGUCCUGGACUCUGCCGGGCCCCCCUGGAGCCCCUGUUCUCCAUUCCCUCUCCCUGCUGGGAUCCCCCCUGGACGGGGGGGCCCCGGGACUCUUGGGGGGGGUCCCAGCAGGGAUACCCUGGCCGUCACCAGCUUUGUGGGGCCCGAACCCAGGGACGUGCUGCUGUGCCCGGCCCGCUGCCGCGGGGGGGAGACCCAGAGGCCGCGACGCCCCCAGCCCACGCGGGGGCCUGGGGAGCUGGGGGGCAGCAUGGCCCCGGACAGCGCUGGGAGAGCAGCAGACAGGCUGGUGCCCGGGCCCAGCGGGGACCCCCCCAGUGGGAAGCGUUCGGAGGAUGGGGGGCUCCUGGCCCGGUUCUCCCACCGUGAACUCGGGAGCCUCUUUCGCCAGGCGGGGGCCAAGGUCCGGCUGCGAAUUCUGCCCACCCCCAGGGACGCAGCUGCCUCCAGUGACCUGGACGCAGCCGACAUCCAGGUGGAGGAAGGAGCUGGGAGGCCGGGGUGCCGGCUGCCCCAGCCACAG